This is a small nuclear RNA of Pocillopora damicornis (cauliflower coral), 160 nucleotides long. RefSeq annotates it as U1 spliceosomal RNA. Lineage: Eukaryota; Metazoa; Cnidaria; Anthozoa; Scleractinia; Pocilloporidae. The record is from RefSeq and is a predicted model, not a curated record.
AAACUUACAGUGCACAGGAGCACCGUGAUCAAGAAGGCGGGGCUCCCAAGGCGAGGUGGCACAUUGCACUCUGGGCCACUGAACCUUGCGUUCGCUCCAGGCCGAGCGAGUCGGGUGCAGAAUUUUUGUUUGUCACCGGGUUGACUCGCGCUAUCGCUGG